AAAGGCAUAGUAUAAUUCAAUACAUUUCAUUUACACUGAAAAUAUACUUAUAUAUAAGUUGCUUUUA
RNAcentral lists this transfer RNA (67 nucleotides) under Polystira vibex. Its description in RNAcentral is "tRNA-Val". Lineage: Eukaryota; Metazoa; Mollusca; Gastropoda; Neogastropoda; Turridae. The record is from RNAcentral.